GAUGAACGCUGGCGGCGUGCCUAAUACAUGCAAGUCGAGCGAACGGACGAGAAGCUUGCUUCUCUGAUGUUAGCGGCGGACGGGUGAGUAACACGUGGAUAACCUACCUAUAAGACUGGGAUAACUUCGGGAAACCGGAGCUAAUACCGGAUAAUAUUUUGAACCGCAUGGUUCAAAAGUGAAAGACGGUCUUGCUGUCACUUAUAGAUGGAUCCGCGCUGCAUUAGCUAGUUGGUAAGGUAACGGCUUACCAAGGCAACGAUGCAUAGCCGACCUGAGAGGGUGAUCGGCCACACUGGAACUGAGACACGGUCCAGACUCCUACGGGAGGUAGCAGUAGGGAAUCUUCCGCAAUGGGCGAAAGCCUGACGGAGCAACGCCGCGUGAGUGAUGAAGGUCUUCGGAUCGUAAAACUCCGUUAUUAGGGAAGAACAUAUGUGUAAGUAACUGUGCACAUCUUGACGGUACCUAAUCAGAAAGCCACGGCGAACUACGU
This 496-nucleotide ribosomal RNA is filed under the name uncultured bacterium. RNAcentral describes it as "partial 16S ribosomal RNA". It matches the Rfam family "Bacterial small subunit ribosomal RNA", at positions 28 to 506 of the family's 1533-position model. The record is from RNAcentral.